RNAcentral lists this ribosomal RNA (637 nucleotides) under uncultured bacterium. Its description in RNAcentral is "bacterial SSU rRNA". It matches the Rfam family "Bacterial small subunit ribosomal RNA", at positions 607 to 1244 of the family's 1533-position model. The record is from RNAcentral.
GCUCAACCGGGGAGGGUCAUUGGAAACUGGGGAACUUGAGUGCAGAAGAGGAGAGUGGAAUUCCACGUGUAGCGGUGAAAUGCGUAGAGAUGUGGAGGAACACCAGUGGCGAAGGCGACUCUCUGGUCUGUAACUGACGCUGAGGCGCGAAAGCGUGGGGAGCGAACAGGAUUAGAUACCCUGGUAGUCCACGCCGUAAACGAUGAGUGCUAAGUGUUAGAGGGUUUCCGCCCUUUAGUGCUGCAGCAAACGCAUUAAGCACUCCGCCUGGGGAGUACGGUCGCAAGACUGAAACUCAAAGGAAUUGACGGGGGCCCGCACAAGCGGUGGAGCAUGUGGUUUAAUUCGAAGCAACGCGAAGAACCUUACCAGGUCUUGACAUCCUCUGACAACCCUAGAGAUAGGGCUUCCCCUUCGGGAGCAGAGUGACAGGUGGUGCAUGGUUGUCGUCAGCUCGUGUCGUGAGAUGUUGGGUUAAGUCCCGCAACGAGCGCAACCCUUGAUCUUAGUUGCCAGCAUUCAGUUGGGCACUCUAAGGUGACUGCCGGUGACAAACCGGAGGAAGGUGGGGAUGACGUCAAAUCAUCAUGCCCCUUAUGACCUGGGCUACACACGUGCUACAAUGGGCAGAACAAAG